ACUUCCAAAAUGUUUGGAAACCAAGGCACGGCUUCCGAUUGGCUGCUGGAAGCCGAUUGGCUGCUGGAAGCUCCUGCAGCCAAUCGGAAGCCGUGCCUUGGUUUCCAAACAUUUUGGAAGUCUAAC
Non-coding RNA from Podarcis lilfordi (Lilford's wall lizard), 126 nucleotides. NCBI's taxonomy places the organism in Eukaryota, Metazoa, Chordata, Lepidosauria, Squamata, Lacertidae. The record is from the annotation of a GenBank genome assembly.